GCACCCAUAGCUCAAUUGGAUAGAGCGUCUGGCUACGGACCAGAAGGUUAGGGGUUCAAAUCCCUUUGGGUGUACCA
Molecule: transfer RNA, 77 nt
Filed under: Victivallis vadensis
Lineage: Bacteria; Pseudomonadati; Lentisphaerota; Lentisphaeria; Victivallales; Victivallaceae
Also listed under: 3 other names
Description: tRNA-Arg
Rfam family: tRNA
About the family: Transfer RNA (tRNA) molecules are approximately 80 nucleotides in length. Their secondary structure includes four short double-helical elements and three loops (D, anti-codon, and T loops). Further hydrogen bonds mediate the characteristic L-shaped molecular structure. tRNAs have two regions of fundamental functional importance: the anti-codon, which is responsible for specific mRNA codon recognition, and the 3' end, to which the tRNAs corresponding amino acid is attached (by aminoacyl-tRNA synthetases). tRNAs cope with the degeneracy of the genetic code in two manners: having more than one tRNA (with a specific anti-codon) for a particular amino acid; and 'wobble' base-pairing, i.e. permitting non-standard base-pairing at the 3rd anti-codon position.
Source: RNAcentral